UGGGGAAUAUUGCACAAUUGGCGCAAGCUUGAUGAAGCCAUGCCGCGAGUGUGAAGAAGGCCUUCGGGCUUUAAAGCACUUUCAGCGGGGAGGAAGGCGAUAAGGUUAAUAACCUUGUCGAUUGACGUUACCCGCAGAAGAAGCACUGGCUAACUCCGUGCCAGCAGCCGCGGUAAUUCGGAGGGUGCAAGCGUUAAUCGGAAUUACUGGGCGUAAAGCGAACGCAGGCGGUUUGUUAAGUCAGAUGUGAAAUCCCCGGGCUCAACCUUGGAAAUGCAUCUGAUACUGGGAAGUUUGAAUAUCGUAGAGCUGGGUGAAAUUUCAGGUGUAGCGGUGAAAGGCGUAGAGAUCUGAAGGAAUACCGGUGGCGAAGGCGGCCCCCUGGAAGAAGACAGACGCUCAGGUGCGAAAGCGUGGGGAGCAAACAGG
This 429-nucleotide ribosomal RNA is filed under the name Chloroflexota bacterium. RNAcentral's name for it is "Chloroflexi bacterium partial 16S ribosomal RNA". It matches the Rfam family "Bacterial small subunit ribosomal RNA", at positions 355 to 776 of the family's 1533-position model. The record is from RNAcentral. Lineage: Bacteria; Bacillati; Chloroflexota.